GGUUUGGACUAUUUAUAACCACACAGCCGCAGGCUUUGCUGUUUGGAUUGAAGAGCAGAGCAACUCAGCGGAAGGGGAGGUAGGAGAAGACUCUUCACAAAAUGGUAAGAUUUCUGCAUCUUUUCUUUUCCUUUUGGCUUGUAUUUCAAAUUGAUCCUCUACUUUACUUGCAACGUGAAACUUCUUCUCGAUUGCUGAGAAAAUUUAGGGUUACAGCGAGAAUAAGCUUCUUUCUUUAAGUUGAUUCUUCUAGUUUGGAUUUUGAAGUGGAGGCACAUUACCUAUUUGUAAAGUUAUUUGAAUUAUUAAACUGCUGAUUCAGUUACUUGUAUUAGAAGAUCAAUAUUAACAAGUUGCUCGAAAUUUCCAUUGAAUCUUUAAUUUUUGGUGCAUUUCAGGCAAGAGGGCUGAAGAAACACU
Molecule: unclassified non-coding RNA, 420 nt
Filed under: Hevea brasiliensis (rubber tree)
Lineage: Eukaryota; Viridiplantae; Streptophyta; Magnoliopsida; Malpighiales; Euphorbiaceae
Source: RNAcentral